Pelmatolapia mariae (spotted tilapia) is the source of this 382-nucleotide long non-coding RNA. RefSeq lists it as uncharacterized. NCBI's taxonomy places the organism in Eukaryota, Metazoa, Chordata, Actinopteri, Cichliformes, Cichlidae. The transcript is spliced from 3 exons. The record is from RefSeq and is a predicted model, not a curated record.
GUCUUACAUCUGUUGACCUGAAAGGGUUCCUUUUUGCUGUGCUUGACCAUUAUGGAGAGGUUCGUGGAGCUGUACAAAAUCAAGAGCGGCAUAGAAAGGCUAACUAGGCUCAUAAGAUGCUUCGGAGAUGAUAGCCCUACACAAAGGAAGAGGACAGAGGACCUCAUUUUCUAAAGGAAGAUCCCUCACACACUUUCAAGACUGUGAAGCCGACAGGUAUUGAAGACACGUUUUCUAAGAGGAUGAAAGUUGGCAUUGCGAUGGUGAAAGAAGAAGACAUCAUCGAUGUGUUGGUUGUCCUUGAGGCAGCAGUAAUCCUGUCUAAUCUGAGGGAUGUCUCAAGUGCCAUUUCCAUGCUGAUGGGCCUUCUUUUUGCCCUCAA